Molecule: ribosomal RNA, 468 nt
Filed under: uncultured bacterium
Lineage: Bacteria
Description: partial 16S ribosomal RNA
Rfam family: Bacterial small subunit ribosomal RNA
Source: RNAcentral
GACGAACGCUGGCGGCGUGCUUAACACAUGCAAGUCGAACGGAAAGGCCCUGCUUUUGUGGGGUGCUCGAGUGGCGAACGGGUGAGUAACACGUGAGUAACCUGCCCUUGACUUUGGGAUAACUUCAGGAAACUGGGGCUAAUACCGGAUAGGAGCUCCUGCUGCAUGGUGGGGGUUGGAAAGUUUCGGCGGUUGGGGAUGGACUCGCGGCUUAUCAGCUUGUUGGUGGGGUAGUGGCUUACCAAGGCUUUGACGGGUAGCCGGCCUGAGAGGGUGACCGGCCACAUUGGGACUGAGAUACGGCCCAGACUCUUACGGGAGGCAGCAGUGGGGAAUAUUGCACAAUGGGCGGAAGCCUGAUGCAGCAACGCCGCGUGCGGGAUGACGGCCUUCGGGUUGUAAACCGCUUUCGCCUGUGACGAAGCGUGAGCGACGGUAAUGGGUAAAGAAGCACCGGCUAACUACGUG